CCCUUAGAUGUCCUGGGCCGCACGCGCGUUACACUGAUGCACUCAACGAGCAUAUAACCUUGGCCGAGAGGCCUGGGUAAUCUUGUUAACAUGCAUCGUGAUAGGGAUAGAUUAUUGCAAUUAUUAAUCUUGAACGAGGAAUUCCUAGUAAACGCAGAUCAUCAAUCUGCAUUGAUUACGUCCCUGCCCUUUGUACACACCGCCCGUCGCACCUACCGAUUGGAUGGUCCGGUGAAGCCUCGGGAUUGUGGUUCUUGCCGCUUUAUUGUGGCGUGACCGCGAGAACUUGUCUAAACCUUAUCAUCUAGAGGAAGGUGAAGUCGUAACA
This 328-nucleotide ribosomal RNA is filed under the name uncultured eukaryote. RNAcentral describes it as "partial 18S ribosomal RNA". It matches the Rfam family "Eukaryotic small subunit ribosomal RNA", at positions 1470 to 1796 of the family's 1831-position model. The record is from RNAcentral.